Molecule: ribosomal RNA, 448 nt
Filed under: uncultured bacterium
Lineage: Bacteria
Description: bacterial SSU rRNA
Rfam family: Bacterial small subunit ribosomal RNA
Source: RNAcentral
GCCAGACUCCUACGGGAGGCAGCAGUGGGGGAUAUUGCACAAUGGGGGAAACCCUGAUGCAGCGACGCCGCGUGAGUGAAGAAGUAUUUCGGUAUGUAAAGCUCUAUCAGCAGGGAAGAAAAAAGACGGUACCUGACUAAGAAGCCCCGGCUAACUACGUGCCAGCAGCCGCGGUAAUACGUAGGGGGCAAGCGUUAUCCGGAUUUACUGGGUGUAAAGGGAGCGUAGACGGCAAUACAAGUCGGAAGUGAAAUACCCGGGCUUAACCUGGGAACUGCUUUGGAAACUGUAUGGCUGGAGUGCUGGAGAGGUAAGCGGAAUUCCUAGUGUAGCGGUGAAAUGCGUAGAUAUUAGGAGGAACACCAGUGGCGAAGGCGGCUUACUGGACAGUAACUGACGUUGAGGCUCGAAAGCGUGGGGAGCAAACAGGAUUAGAUACCCCCGUAGG